GGGGUCCCUAUGGGGUCAGUGGGGCACCGAUUUGGGAUGGGGGUCUCUAUGGGGUUGAGAGGGCACAGAUUUGGGGUCAGGGUCCCUAUGGGAUCUGUAUGAAGCACAGGUUGGGGUGGGGUCUCUAUGGGGUUGGGGGGUAUCUGUGGGGUUGAGGUCCCUAUGGGGUCGGGGGGGUCUCUAUGGGGUCAGUGGGGCACAGAUUUGGGGUCAGGGCUCCCUAUAGGGUCAGGAUCCCUAUGGGGCAUCGCUGAGCUCUUCAUUUCCUCCCCCCUCCCCCCUCUUAUUCCCCCUUAUAGCCACCUUGGACCCCCACGGCCCCCCCCCCUUGGAGGACCCCGACCGACGGCCGCUGUCACCCGAAGUGUCACCUGAAGGGUCACCCGUAGGGCCCCCCACCCUACAACCCACCCGGAAACGCCCCCGCCUCAAUGUGACCCCCCCGGGGGUCCCCAAAACCGUUCCCAGUGUCACCUCCAAGUCCUCCAACAACACCGUAACCCCCCCAGCCUUGAUCCCCGUGGAGGAAUUCGUGGACGAUGAUUGGUUGGAGGACGACUUGGGGGGGGCACGGAAAAGGAGGAGGGGGAGGAGGGGGUGGUUGGACCCCCCCAGGGCGGGGGGAACAGUCAGACGACGGCGGUGUUAUGGGAGGAGGGAGGGGGUGGGGAUGGGGGGACUGGGAGGACCAACAGGCAGACUUGGAGGACCGGCAGAAGGACUUGGGGCACCAGCAGGAGGACUGGGAGAGACAGUGGGAGGACCGACAGGCGGACUAGGAGAGACAAUGGGAGGAGCGGGAGGACCAACAGGCGGACUGGGAGGACCAGAAGAAGGACUGGGAGAGACAGUGGGAGGACUGAGAGGACCAGCAGGCGGACUUGGAGGACCAACAGGCAGACUUGGAGGACCAACAGGCGAACUUGGAGGACCAACGGGCGGACGAGGAUGGGAGAGCCCUGAAAGCAGUGAUGGGAGCAAUGGAAGGGGAGGGGAAGAGAAGCUGCCCCCCGCCCCCCCCUCUGCGCCCCCAAUCCGGGUCAGGGUCCGCAUCCAGGAGCUGCUCUUCCUCAUCCCCGUCCCACACGGGUACAAAUGGGACCCCAAAAGGACCCCAAAGGGACCCCAAAGCGACCCCCACCCCAAAGAGACACCAAAGCGAUCCCACCCCAAAGGGACCGCAUGGGACCCCUUAGGGACCCCAACCCCAAAGGGACCCCAUAGGGACUCUAAAAGACCCCCACCCCAAAAGGACCCAAUGGGGACUCCGUAGGGACUCCAAAGGGACCCCUGCCCCGAAUGGACCCCAAAUAGACCCCAAAGGGACCCCCAACCCAAAGGGACCCCAUAGAGACCCCAAAGAGACCCCCACCCCAAUGAGACCCCCACCCCAAUGAGACCUCAUAAGGACCUCAAAGGGAGUCCCAUCCCAAAGGGACCCAAAAGGGA
RNAcentral lists this long non-coding RNA (1449 nucleotides) under Phasianus colchicus (ring-necked pheasant). RNAcentral's name for it is "lncRNA (ENSPCLG00000017676.1)". The record is from RNAcentral. Lineage: Eukaryota; Metazoa; Chordata; Aves; Galliformes; Phasianidae.